UAAGUCGCCGAGGCAACGGGUCCUAACGGCUGCAGCUCGCGGAUGCUGGGCCACAAAACUCGCCGCCAGGCCGCUGCUCCCCCUCACCUGAUAGCCCGGUUGGAUGCUCUCGGUGGGAUUCGAUAAACGUUGACUUCGGGUUUGACACAGAGGACCGACUCGUACUCGGACUGACCCUCGGUCGCCAUUUUGACUUUUACUCAGUCGGUGCACGCCGGUGGUGAUGGUGGUGACGAAGUACAGGCGAGAUACAAAGAUCCUGAGGCGAAGGUUGGGGGUCUGGCUGAGGAACUGGCACAAUCGGAUGGAGCAGUUGGCACAGGGAGACCAAGAGCAGAACCAGGUGAUGGAGUAACUGAGCCUCCUCUCUCCAGUACCUCCACACCCCCACAAACCAGGGCACAAGGCUCCCAGCUUUUCUCACAUGCGCCCCCAUCUUGACACACUUACUUCUACAUGGCAGCCAUUACGAUUCCGGAGGUGUCCAAAGUCAAAAGAUAAGGAAUCUGGCCCCACUCGCCUUUUAAUUACAAAGCAGAGACUCUGGACAAGCAGCCGGCCCAGGCCCUCCCUGCGGUACCAGCUGCCCGUCACCAACCUGCAGAUCCUCCUGAUGCCCGUUCGAUUCUCGCUUUCCCGGAAGAUGCAGCCGAGGAUGUCACCCUCGCAGUCUGCCACCCAGACGUGCCCCGCUGCCUGUUCCCUCUCCGGGGUGACCUUCUCUGUUGAUACAUCUUUGUCCUUGUCUUUGGGAGCAAUUCCGCGCCUCGUCUGAGUAAAGGAAAUAUGAUUA
This is a long non-coding RNA of Micropterus dolomieu (smallmouth bass), 793 nucleotides long. RefSeq lists it as uncharacterized. The transcript is spliced from 4 exons. The record is from RefSeq and is a predicted model, not a curated record. NCBI's taxonomy places the organism in Eukaryota, Metazoa, Chordata, Actinopteri, Centrarchiformes, Centrarchidae.